This 75-nucleotide transfer RNA is filed under the name Alphaproteobacteria bacterium. Its description in RNAcentral is "tRNA-Gln". It matches the Rfam family "tRNA". From Rfam's summary of the family: Transfer RNA (tRNA) molecules are approximately 80 nucleotides in length. Lineage: Bacteria; Pseudomonadati; Pseudomonadota; Alphaproteobacteria. The record is from RNAcentral.
UGGGGCGUCGCCAAGUGGUAAGGCAGCGGAUUUUGAUUCCGCGAUACGGAGGUUCGAAUCCUCCCGCCCCAGCCA